RNAcentral lists this ribosomal RNA (761 nucleotides) under Lactiplantibacillus pentosus. RNAcentral's name for it is "bacterial SSU rRNA". It matches the Rfam family "Bacterial small subunit ribosomal RNA", at positions 18 to 743 of the family's 1533-position model. Lineage: Bacteria; Bacillati; Bacillota; Bacilli; Lactobacillales; Lactobacillaceae. The record is from RNAcentral.
CCCUGCUCAGGACGAACGCUGGCGGCGUGCCUAAUACAUGCAAGUCGAACGAACUCUGGUAUUGAUUGGUGCUUGCAUCAUGAUUUACAUUUGAGUGAGUGGCGAACUGGUGAGUAACACGUGGGAAACCUGCCCAGAAGCGGGGGAUAACACCUGGAAACAGAUGCUAAUACCGCAUAACAACUUGGACCGCAUGGUCCGAGUUUGAAAGAUGGCUUCGGCUAUCACUUUUGGAUGGUCCCGCGGCGUAUUAGCUAGAUGGUGGGGUAACGGCUCACCAUGGCAAUGAUACGUAGCCGACCUGAGAGGGUAAUCGGCCACAUUGGGACUGAGACACGGCCCAAACUCCUACGGGAGGCAGCAGUAGGGAAUCUUCCACAAUGGACGAAAGUCUGAUGGAGCAACGCCGCGUGAGUGAAGAAGGGUUUCGGCUCGUAAAACUCUGUUGUUAAAGAAGAACAUAUCUGAGAGUAACUGUUCAGGUAUUGACGGUAUUUAACCAGAAAGCCACGGCUAACUACGUGCCAGCAGCCGCGGUAAUACGUAGGUGGCAAGCGUUGUCCGGAUUUAUUGGGCGUAAAGCGAGCGCAGGCGGUUUUUUAAGUCUGAUGUGAAAGCCUUCGGCUCAACCGAAGAAGUGCAUCGGAAAUCUGGGAAACUUGAGUGCAGAAGAGGACAGUGGAACUCCAUGUGUAGCGGUGAAAUGCGUAGAUAUAUGGAAGAACACCAGUGGCGAAGGCGGCUGUCUGGUCUGUAACUAC